This 666-nucleotide long non-coding RNA is filed under the name Portunus trituberculatus (swimming crab). Its description in RNAcentral is "uncharacterized LOC123518944, transcript variant X2". Lineage: Eukaryota; Metazoa; Arthropoda; Malacostraca; Decapoda; Portunidae. The record is from RNAcentral.
CCCGCGGGCCGCAGACACACACAAAGGAGGAAGGGGAGCGACUGAACGCUCCCUAGUUACACUCGUUUUCUCUCAUUUCUGGAUAUUAGUGAUGAGUGACAGCUCGUGGGAAAUUCAUAGACACACCCAGAGAUAGAAUAGUGUUUCGACCAACGCCGAGAAUUUCCCGCUGGUAAUAAUUAGCGGCUUUAAGUAGUAACGACUCCGGCCCGGCACCACCCCACCCACACACACAGGACUUGCCAGAUGUACAAGUGCUGGGGAAAUGCGUUGGUGGUACAUCAGGGAAGACUAAUAAGUAGUGGUGGGUCGUGGGUGGCAGGUGGAACAGGAGAGCGUGCCUGGUGGCGGCGGAAACAUUGCCGUCAUUACUCAGUCCUCCACGAUGGCAGGCCUUGAAUGCGACGAUGCUUCACUGGGAACUACUAUUCCCGGAACAAAGGUUACGCAGAGCAGCUUACAGGGAGAAAAAAUGAUCAGAAAAUUAUACAAAAAAAAUGGUACAAAAAAUGGUCCGGAAAGGAAGUAGACCCUUGGAAGGAGUGAAGGAAGCUCAACCAAUCGUGAAGGAUGGACGAGGGAAGGAUGGCUGGAAGAAUAAAGGAAUAUGGGAGAGAUAGAAAAAAAUAAGUAAAACAAAGAAAAAGAAAUUAAAAAAAACACAGA